CGGCUCUAAAAGUGUGUCUAACGGCUAGUUUUCGAUGGGGAUUGCUUAAAUAGCCAGAGUGAACAGUAAUAGACAUCAAGAGAGAGACUCCAUUCAAAGCAAAAGGGAUUUCCACCUACCAAAGCCACUCAAGAGUAAAUACAAGAGAAAGAAGGAAGAAGUGCAUUGAAGUCCAUCCUCCAAACAUCUUCCUCGCAUUCGAGGCUCCCCUUCUGACAGCAAAUCUUCAGCACACUCAA
Molecule: long non-coding RNA, 239 nt
Filed under: Phoenix dactylifera (date palm)
Lineage: Eukaryota; Viridiplantae; Streptophyta; Magnoliopsida; Arecales; Arecaceae
Description: long non-coding RNA (PDAC_LNC006715)
Source: RNAcentral